Molecule: unclassified non-coding RNA, 282 nt
Filed under: air metagenome
Description: partial contains small subunit ribosomal RNA, internal transcribed spacer 1, and 5.8S ribosomal RNA
Rfam family: Eukaryotic small subunit ribosomal RNA (bases 1-46)
Source: RNAcentral
AAGUCGUAACAAGGUUUCCGUAGGUGAACCUGCGGAAGGAUCAUUAACGUAUCCUGGCGGGGUGCGGUCUGCCCAGCUCCGGUCCUCGGGCCGUGCAGCGGGCGUCCGUCCCUGUCCAAACCUCACAAACCCACUGUGAACCUUCACGGCGGACGGGGCCUCCGGUUAGCGCCGGGGCGCCUCUGAUGCCGCAUACCAAACUCCAGUUGCAAAGAAUGUCGUGCGGACUUUGUUGCCGCCUAAAACACUAAACAACUUUCAACAACGGAUCUCUUGGCUCUC